UUUUCGGCCCGCUGGUACCGCCGCCGCCGCUGUCUCCGCUGUUAUCCUGCUACCGCGCUCGCUUUCUCUUUUCGCGAGUGUUAUUGACACUUUUAAAAUAUAAAGAUCAAAAGCGAGCGGACACGAAUGAGCCGCUCUCAAGCCUGUGCGAGCAAGCAAGUGCGAGUCUCGAUUUAGGACCGGUGAUUGACAGCCUCCGUCUCGCCACUGUUCUCCAUUUCAUCGAGCACGGCUACAAGGGAAUCGGAAGGAAAGGCCAGUGAGCAGGCAUUAACGGAGCCAAUGGACCAUAAAAAUGCCCCUGGUCCAUGCGGCGGUGUAGCAAGGGCUGCCCAGCACACCAGAGAGUAGCACCUUAGACCAUGCCACUCAGCUACAGCUAUGUUCCGAUUCUGGUGUGGAAGUUGCGUGCAUUCAUCUCUUCUUCACCUUGGUGCAGAAAUGACCUUGCCAUGCCAGGGACGAACACCUUACACUACACUACUCAGCAACAGGGCCAUACGGUGCAGAGAGGACCUGCCGACGCCGGGGAUUGUCACCUUACAGUAUGCCACACAAUUACAGAGCCAUGAAAAGACAGCUGCAAGAUGACACAAAGCAAGAUGGUUUCCCAAUGCGUAAAGAUUGAACACCAACCUCCGAGAUGAAUCAGAAGAAGCGCCUGUAUGGAUAGGACACGAGUGUAGUAAUAAAACCAUAUUGCCAAUAUAAA
This is a long non-coding RNA of Ixodes scapularis (black-legged tick), 712 nucleotides long. RefSeq lists it as uncharacterized. Lineage: Eukaryota; Metazoa; Arthropoda; Arachnida; Ixodida; Ixodidae. The transcript has 5 exons. The record is from RefSeq and is a predicted model, not a curated record.